GGGUUGUGAGGUUAAGCGACUAAGCGUACACGGUGGAUGCCCUGGCAGUCAGAGGCGAUGAAGGACGUGCUAAUCUGCGAAAAGCGUCGGUAAGGUGAUAUGAACCGUUAUAACCGGCGAUGUCCGAAUGGGGAAACCCAGUGCAAUUCGUUGCACUAUCGUUAACUGAAUACAUAGGUUAACGAGGCGAACCGGGGGAACUGAAACAUCUAAGUACCCCGAGGAAAAGAAAUCAACCGAGAUUCCCCCAGUAGCGGCGAGCGAACGGGGAGCAGCCCAGAGUCUGAAUCAGCUUGUGUGUUAGUGGAACGGUCUGGAAAGUCCGACGGUACAGGGUGAUAGUCCCGUACACCAAAAUGCACAGGNNCAUCCUCCAAGGCUAAAUACUCCUGACUGACCGAUAGUGAACCAGUACCGUGAGGGAAAGGCGAAAAGAACCCCGGCGAGGGGAGUGAAAAAGAACCUGAAACCGUGUACGUACAAGCAGUGGGAGCACCUUCGGGUGUGACUGCGUACCUUUUGUAUAAUGGGUCAGCGACUUAUAUUCUGUAGCAAGGUUAACCGUAUAGGGGAGCCGCAGGGAAACCGAGUCUUAACUGGGCGUUAAGUUGCAGGGUAUAGACCCGAAACCCGGUGAUCUAGCCAUGGGCAGGUUGAAGGUUGGGUAACACUAACUGGAGGACCGAACCGACUAAUGUUGAAAAAUUAGCGGAUGACUUGUGGCUGGGGGUGAAAGGCCAAUCAAACCGGGAGAUAGCUGGUUCUCCCCGAAAGCUAUUUAGGUAGCGCCUCGUGAACUCAUCUUCGGGGGUAGAGCACUGUUUCGGCUAGGGGGUCAUCCCGACUUACCAACCCGAUGCAAACUACGAAUACCGAAGAAUGUUAUCACGGGAGACACACGGCGGGUGCUAACGUCCGUCGUGAAGAGGGAAACAACCCAGACCGCCAGCUAAGGUCCCAAAGUCAUGGUUAAGUGGGAAACGAUGUGGGAAGGCACAGACAGCCAGGAUGUUGGCUUAGAAGCAGCCAUCAUUUAAAGAAAGCGUAAUAGCUCACUGGUCGAGUCGGCCUGCGCGGAAGAUGUAACGGGGCUAAACCAUGCACCGAAGCUGCGGCAGCGACACUAUGUGUUGUUGGGUAGGGGAGCGUUCUGUAAGCCUGCGAAGGUGUGCUGUGAGGCAUGCUGGAGGUAUCAGAAGUGCGAAUGCUGACAUAAGUAACGAUAAAGCGGGUGAAAAGCCCGCUCGCCGGAAGACCAAGGGUUCCUGUCCAACGUUAAUCGGGGCAGGGUGAGUCGACCCCUAAGGCGAGGCCGAAAGGCGUAGUCGAUGGGAAACAGGUUAAUAUUCCUGUACUUGGUGUUACUGCGAAGGGGGGACGGAGAAGGCUAUGUUAGCCGGGCGACGGUUGUCCCGGUUUAAGCAUGUAGGCUGGUUAUCCAGGCAAAUCCGGAUAAUCAAGGCUGAGGUGUGAUGACGAGGCACUACGGUGCUGAAGUAACAAAUGCCCUGCUUCCAGGAAAAGCCUCUAAGCAUCAGGUAACAUCAAAUCGUACCCCAAACCGACACAGGUGGUCAGGUAGAGAAUACCAAGGCGCUUGAGAGAACUCGGGUGAAGGAACUAGGCAAAAUGGUGCCGUAACUUCGGGAGAAGGCACGCUGGUGUGUAGGUGAAGUCCCUGCGGAUGGAGCUGAGACCAGUCGAAGAUACCAGCUGGCUGCAACUGUUUAUUAAAAACACAGCACUGUGCAAACACGAAAGUGGACGUAUACGGUGUGACGCCUGCCCGGUGCCGGAAGGUUAAUUGAUGGGGUUAUCCGUAAGGAGAAGCUCUUGAUCGAAGCCCCGGUAAACGGCGGCCGUAACUAUAACGGUCCUAAGGUAGCGAAAUUCCUUGUCGGGUAAGUUCCGACCUGCACGAAUGGCGUAAUGAUGGCCAGGCUGUCUCCACCCGAGACUCAGUGAAAUUGAACUCGCUGUGAAGAUGCAGUGUACCCGCGGCAAGACGGAAAGACCCCGUGAACCUUUACUAUAGCUUGACACUGAACAUUGAGCCUUGAUGUGUAGGAUAGGUGGGAGGCUUUGAAGCGUGGACGCCAGUCUGCGUGGAGCCAACCUUGAAAUACCACCCUUUAAUGUUUGAUGUUCUAACGUUGGCCCCUGACCGGGGUUGCGGACAGUGUCUGGUGGGUAGUUUGACUGGGGCGGUCUCCUCCCAAAGCGUAACGGAGGAGCACGAAGGUUAGCUAAUCCUGGUCGGACAUCAGGAGGUUAGUGCAAUGGCAUAAGCUAGCUUGACUGCGAGCGUGACGGCGCGAGCAGGUGCGAAAGCAGGUCAUAGUGAUCCGGUGGUUCUGAAUGGAAGGGCCAUCGCUCAACGGAUAAAAGGUACUCCGGGGAUAACAGGCUGAUACCGCCCAAGAGUUCAUAUCGACGGCGGUGUUUGGCACCUCGAUGUCGGCUCAUCACAUCCUGGGGCUGAAGUAGGUCCCAAGGGUAUGGCUGUUCGCCAUUUAAAGUGGUACGCGAGCUGGGUUUAGAACGUCGUGAGACAGUUCGGUCCCUAUCUGCCGUGGGCGCUGGAGAAUUGAGGGGGGCUGCUCCUAGUACGAGAGGACCGGAGUGGACGCAUCACUGGUGUUCGGGUUGUCAUGCCAAUGGCACUGCCCGGUAGCUAAAUGCGGAAGAGAUAAGUGCUGAAAGCAUCUAAGCACGAAACUUGCCCCGAGAUGAGUUCUCCCUGAGACUUUAAGUCUCCUGAAGGAACGUUGAAGACGACGACGUUGAUAGGCCGGGUGUGUAAGCGCAGCGAUGCGUUGAGCUAACCGGUACUAAUGAACCGUGAGGCUUAACCUUACAACGCCGAAG
RNAcentral lists this ribosomal RNA (2868 nucleotides) under Klebsiella pneumoniae. RNAcentral's name for it is "23S ribosomal RNA". It matches the Rfam family "Bacterial large subunit ribosomal RNA". Lineage: Bacteria; Pseudomonadati; Pseudomonadota; Gammaproteobacteria; Enterobacterales; Enterobacteriaceae. The record is from RNAcentral.